RNAcentral lists this ribosomal RNA (123 nucleotides) under Lorentziella imbricata. Its description in RNAcentral is "5.8S ribosomal RNA". It matches the Rfam family "5.8S ribosomal RNA", at positions 33 to 154 of the family's 154-position model. From Rfam's summary of the family: 5.8S ribosomal RNA (5.8S rRNA) is a component of the large subunit of the eukaryotic ribosome. It is transcribed by RNA polymerase I as part of the 45S precursor that also contains 18S and 28S rRNA. Functionally, it is thought that 5.8S rRNA may be involved in ribosome translocation. The record is from RNAcentral. Lineage: Eukaryota; Viridiplantae; Streptophyta; Bryopsida; Gigaspermales; Gigaspermaceae.
UCGAUGAAGAACGCAGCGAAAUGCGAUACGUAGUGUGAAUUGCAGAAUUCCGUGAAUCAUCGAGUCUUUGAACGCAAGUUGCGCCCGAGGCUUGUCCUCGGGCAUUUCUGCCUGAGCGUCAUC